CUGUGAUCUAUCAAAUUAUAGACCAAUUUUCUAAUCUUUCUUGUAUUUCUGAAAUUUAGAGAAAGGUGUAGGUAAGUGGUUCUCUAUAUUUUUGCAAAUAAAAGUAAUCUCUUGUAACAUUUUCACCCAGGUACUGCUUUAGUCAAAGUAUUCAAUGAUUUGCACUCCACUGACGAAGGUUGCAUUUUUAGGCCCAUAGUAUUACAUCUACAAAACACAUAACUAUUCAAUUGGGAGAGUCAGUACCACUGCUGACUCAAUGCAACAGAUGUUGCACCUUGUUCCAUUGUCCUUUUUGUAGUGGUAAUGUUUUUAAGCCCUCCAAACUGGAAAAAUUAAAAAAGCAUUUGAAGAGUCAUUUCAAGAAGGCAGUUCUCCAUGAAGUAACAUGACAAAACGAAUAUCUUCAGGCACAUGGAUACUAAUUAAAAACAAGAAUCUUCCACAGCAGUUGGUUGGGUCAGUGGAUUGUGGAGUAUUCAUGUUGAUGGACAAAGGCGUUCACUAAAGGGGCACUGGAGAGUGUGAAUGAGACCCAGAGCAGUGAGGAGGAACCACUAAUAAAAAGGGACCUCCACACUGCAGUAAAAUGGUUGCACCAACAUAGACAGUUGUUCAGA
This is a long non-coding RNA of Polypterus senegalus (gray bichir), 620 nucleotides long. RefSeq lists it as uncharacterized. The record is from RefSeq and is a predicted model, not a curated record. The transcript is spliced from 6 exons. NCBI's taxonomy places the organism in Eukaryota, Metazoa, Chordata, Cladistia, Polypteriformes, Polypteridae.